This is a long non-coding RNA of Takifugu rubripes (torafugu), 1938 nucleotides long. NCBI's taxonomy places the organism in Eukaryota, Metazoa, Chordata, Actinopteri, Tetraodontiformes, Tetraodontidae. The record is from Ensembl.
AUUUUCUCGACCUUAUUCCACAGAUACUGCAAACUGUUUUAUCUGCCGCCUUCUGAAUUUCCCGAGAGACUUCCUUUAGCAGCUCCUCAGAGUUGGGAAUAUCUUCAAGAAGAGGAUGCAUGAUGUCACUCAACUCAUCGUUGAUUUUACUGAUCGCCUGUGAAGAUGAUGAUUUUUUGCUUCCUUUCGAUGUCACAGUUCUGCUUUUCCAUGGCCGAGGAGCAAUAAAAGUUUUGAUCUUGCCUGAGAACUUCUGGAAAAGGUGAGUAAGUUGAUCAGUCAUGGCAUUCAGUCUGCCAACAGGUGUCAAACGUUUGGUGAUUCCAGCUUUUCCACCACUGAUGAGGUUGUAUUUGACCUCCUCGUGAAUUACACCUGUCAGGGACUUUAAACUGAUGUUGUCCACCUCAUCAGGAAUUCCCAAAGCUUCUGAAAAUGUUUGAGGAAGAGAGACUUCCAGCUCAAACAGAAGAUGCUCCUCAGUCUUUGGUCUCCCCGAUUUCAUUGAUGCCACAACAGAGUUGGAAAGAGCCGCGAUAAUUUCCAAAAUCAACUCUGCAACUAAAACUUUAGUGGCAUCAUCUGCUGAACCUGACAGGAAUGAUCUCCAUUGUUCUGCGGUCGUCUUUUCAAGGAAGGACCGCAUCAUUGGGUGAACAAUGUUUAGAACAAAGUCACUUGUCUGUUGUAGUGACAACAUAAUUGUUCUUGUCUUUAGCUAAUCUUGCGGGACUGUUAAACAAUAACCUAUGAGCUUAAACCUUGUCUCUUCAGUUUUAUAUGCAUUUAAGCAUAACACUAAAUAUUACACUGUUCAGAUCAAAGCAAAUAAAAGCUACCAUAAUCAGGAUCAAAGGUAACAAAGUUAAAAACUGUGUAAAAAGGAGCUCAACACAUGUUCAAAGCUCCUCUUAACUCAAUGCACAACAGAGUGGGGAAAAACGGGAAAGCUUUGUGUUUAACUCGUCGUUUUUACGUGACUGGAUACUGCAAACUGUUUUAUCUGCCGCCUUCUGAAUUUCCCGAGAGACUUCCUUUAGCAGCUCCUCAGAGUUGGGAAUAUCUUCAAGAAGAGGAUGCAUGAUGUCACUCAACUCAUCGUUGAUUUUACUGAUCGCCUGUGAAGAUGAUGAUUUUUUGGUUCCUUUCGAUGUCACAGUUCUGCUUUUCCAUGGCCGAGGAGCAAUAAAAGUUUUGAUCUUGCCUGAGAACUUUUGGAAAAGGUGAGUAAGUUGAUCAGUCAUGGCAUUCAGUCUGCCAACAGGUGUCAAACGUUUGGUGAUUCCAGCUUUUCCACCACUGAUGAGGUUGUAUUUGACCUCCUCGUGAAUUACACCUGUCAGGGACUUUAAACUGAUGUUGUCCACCUCAUCAGGAAUUCCCAAAGCUUCUGAAAAUGUUUGAGGAAGAGAGACUUCCAGCUCAAACAGAAGAUGCUCCUCAGUCUUUGGUCUCCCCGAUUUCAUUGAUGCCACAACAGAGUUGGAAAGAGCCGCGAUAAUUUCCAAAAUCAACUCUGCAACUAAAACUUUAGUGGCAUCAUCUGCUGAACCUGACAGGAAUGAUCUCCAUUGUUCUGCGGUCGUCUUUUCAAGGAAGGACCGCAUCAUUGGGUGAACAAUGUUUAGAACAAAGUCACUUGUCUGUUGUAGUGACAACAUAAUUGUUCUUGUCUUUAGCUAAUCUUGCGGGACUGUUAAACAAUAACCUAUGAGCUUAAACCUUGUCUCUUCAGUUUUAUAUGCAUUUAGGCAUAACACUAAAUAUUACACUGUUCAGAUCAAAGCAAGUAAAAGGUACCAUAAUCAGGAUCAAAGGUAACAAAGUUAAAAACUGUGUAAAAAGGAGCUCAACACAUGUUCAAAGCUCCUCUUAACUCAAUGCACAACAGAGUGGGGAAAAACGGGAAAGCUUUGUGUUUAACUCGUCGUUUUUACG